This 253-nucleotide ribosomal RNA is filed under the name uncultured bacterium. RNAcentral's name for it is "partial 16S ribosomal RNA". It matches the Rfam family "Bacterial small subunit ribosomal RNA", at positions 524 to 776 of the family's 1533-position model. The record is from RNAcentral.
UACGAAGGGUGCAAGCGUUACUCGGAAUUACUGGGCGUAAAGCGUGCGUAGGUGGUUUGUUAAGUCUGCUGUGAAAUCCCCGGGCUCAACCUGGGAAUGGCAGUGGAUACUGGCAAGCUAGAGUGCGGUAGAGGGUAGUGGAAUUCCCGGUGUAGCGGUGAAAUGCGUAGAGAUCGGGAGGAACACCAGUGGCGAAGGCGGCUACCUGGACCAGCACUGACACUCAGGCACGAAAGCGUGGGGAGCAAACAGG